AGAUAACUACACAUAUACAAUAUUCCCAGAAUGGGUUCUCAUAAAGUUAAACUGGAGAAUUGGUAUUUUGGAUCUAGGUGAAGGAGCAGUCGGCCCGAGUCAGUUGGAUAACAACAAAGAACGGAGCUGGUAAUCAUCGAGUUUUAUUAAGCUCAUUCGAGUCGCUGGUUGGGUAUGGGGGCAAUACACUACGCAGAUUGAGCAGAGAGAAAGGAAGGAAGUGAGAGAGGACAAGGGCGACGGCAGCGGCAUCGUGGUAGGGGAGGCGGUAGUUGAGCAUGAAAAGAUGGAGUUAAAGUUAACUCAGAAGAGGGCUUUUCGAUUUUUUUCCAAAGAGAUAACUGUCAUUAUUGUUUUUCCUUUCCCUAAUAGAAAUAAAUGAAUUACAGUAAGUGGCGUCAAGAAAGAGGCGUGACCGCUUAAUUUUUCUAAGAUUAAAAGAUUAAUAUCUU
Salvia hispanica is the source of this 452-nucleotide long non-coding RNA. RefSeq lists it as uncharacterized. The record is from RefSeq and is a predicted model, not a curated record. Lineage: Eukaryota; Viridiplantae; Streptophyta; Magnoliopsida; Lamiales; Lamiaceae.